AUUGAACGCUGGCGGCAGGCCUAACACAUGCAAGUCGAACGAGUGGCGGACGGGUGAGUAAUGUCUGGGAAACUGCCUGAUGGAGGGGGAUAACUACUGGAAACGGUAGCUAAUACCGCAUACCAUCGGAUGUGCCCAGAUGGGAUUAGCUAGUAGGUGGGGUAAAGGCUCACCUAGGCGACGAUCCCUAGCUGGUCUGAGAGGAUGACCAGCCACACGGGAACUGGGACACGGUCCAGAAGCCUACGGAAGGCAGCAGUGGAGAAUAUUGAACAAUGGGCGCAAGCCUGAUGCAGCCAUGCCGCGUGUAUGAAGAAGGCCUUCGGGUUGUAAAGUACUUUCAGCGGGGAGGCGUUAACCGCAGAAGAAGCACCGGCUAACUCCGUGCCAGCAGCCGCGGAAAUUC
Molecule: ribosomal RNA, 406 nt
Filed under: uncultured bacterium
Lineage: Bacteria
Description: partial 16S ribosomal RNA
Rfam family: Bacterial small subunit ribosomal RNA
Source: RNAcentral